This 389-nucleotide ribosomal RNA is filed under the name Syndiniales sp. Its description in RNAcentral is "partial small subunit ribosomal RNA". It matches the Rfam family "Eukaryotic small subunit ribosomal RNA", at positions 582 to 975 of the family's 1831-position model. The record is from RNAcentral. Lineage: Eukaryota; Dinophyceae; Syndiniales.
AUUCCAGCUCCAAUAGCGUAUAUUAAAGUUGUUGCGGUUAAAAAGCUCGUAGUUGGAUUUCUGUCGAAGACCGUCGGUCCGCUCUAUGAGCGUGUAUCUGAUUGGGCUUUGGCAUCCUCAUGAGAGACGUUACUGUGCUUGAUUGCAUGGUGCGGAUUUCAUGACUUUUACUUUGAGGAAAUUAGAGUGUUCACGGCAGGCAUGCGCCUUGAAUACAUUAGCAUGGAAUAAUAAUAUAGGAUCGAGAUUCUAUUUUGUUGGUUUCUAGAAUCACGAUAAUGAUUAAUAGGGAUAAUUGGGGGCAUUUGUAUUAACGCGUCAGAGGUGGAAUUCUUGGAUUGCGUUACGACAAACUACUGCGAAAGCAUUUGCCAAGGAUGUUUUCAUCA